UAUUGGACAAUGGGCGAAAGCCUGAUCCAGCAAUGCCGCGUGAGUGAUGAAGGCCUUAGGGUUGUAAAGCUCCUUUACCCGGGAUGAUAAUGACAGUACCGGGAGAAUAAGCUCCGGCUAACUCCGUGCCAGCAGCCGCGGUAAUACGGAGGGAGCUAGCGUUGUUCGGAAUUACUGGGCGUAAAGCGCACGUAGGCGGCUUUGUAAGUUAGAGGUGAAAGCCUGGAGCUCAACUCCAGAAUUGCCUUUGAUACUGCAUCGCUUGAAUCCAGGAGAGGUGAGUGGAAUUCCGAGUGUAGAGGUGAAAUUCGUAGAUAUUCGGAAGAACACCAGUGGCGAAGGCGGCUCACCGGACUGGUAUUGACGCUGAGGUGCGAA
This 378-nucleotide ribosomal RNA is filed under the name uncultured bacterium. RNAcentral's name for it is "bacterial SSU rRNA". It matches the Rfam family "Bacterial small subunit ribosomal RNA", at positions 362 to 757 of the family's 1533-position model. The record is from RNAcentral.